AGCCUCUCAGGGUCGCACCUGGAGAGUUUCCAGUACUCUACCAGUCUUGACUACAAGAGGGAGAGUAAAGCAGAGGCUAGUCCAUUCUUUUCCUAGCUUGGGCAGUGGCUAGCGAGUGGAAGGCGAUCUGCUACAAUG
Tachyglossus aculeatus (Australian echidna) is the source of this 138-nucleotide small nucleolar RNA. Lineage: Eukaryota; Metazoa; Chordata; Mammalia; Monotremata; Tachyglossidae. The record is from RefSeq and is a predicted model, not a curated record.